AGCGAACGCUGGCGGCAGGCUUAAUACAUGCAAGUCGAGCGCCUGUAGCAAUACAGGAGCGGCAGACGGGAGAGUAACACGUGGGAACGUGCCCUUUGGUUCGGAACAACACAGGGAAACUUGUGCUAAUACCGGAUAAGCCCUUACGGGGAAAGAUUUAUCGCCAAAGGAUCGGCCCGCGUCUGAUUAGCUUGUUGGUGAGGUAAUGGCUCACCAAGGCGACGAUCAGUAGCUGGUCUGAGAGGAUGAUCAGCCUCAUUGGGACUGAGACACGGCCCAAACUCCUACGGGAGGCAGCAGUAGGGAAUAUUGGACAAUGGGCGCAAGCCUGAUCCAGCCAUGCCGCGUGAGUGAUGAAGGCCUUAGGGUUGUAAAGCUCUUUCGGCGGGGAAGGAUAAUGACGGUACCC
Molecule: ribosomal RNA, 409 nt
Filed under: uncultured bacterium
Lineage: Bacteria
Description: bacterial SSU rRNA
Rfam family: Bacterial small subunit ribosomal RNA
Source: RNAcentral